AUUAAACUGAAGAGUUUGAUCCUGGCUCAGAUUGAACGCUGGCGGUAUGCUUAACACAUGCAAGUCGAACGGAAACGAUGGGAGCUUGCUCCCAGGCGUCGAGUGGCGGACGGGUGCGUAACGCGUAGGAAUCUACCCAGUAGCGGGGGACAACUCGGGGAAACUCGAGCUAAUACCGCAUACGCCCUACGGGGGAAAGAGGGCCUCUCCUUGGAAGCUCUCACUAUUGGAUGAGCCUGCGUCGGAUUAGCUUGUUGGUAGGGUAAUGGCCUACCAAGGCAACGAUCCGUAGCUGGUCUGAGAGGACGAUCAGCCACACUGGGACUGAGACACGGCCCAGACUCCUACGGGAGGCAGCAGUGGGGAAUAUUGGACAAUGGGGGCAACCCUGAUCCAGCAAUACCGCGUGUGUGAAGAAGGCCUGCGGGUUGUAAAGCACUUUCAAUUGUGAAGAAAAGCUAGGGGUUAAUAACCUCAAGUCUUGACGUUAACUUUAGAAGAAGCACCGGCUAACUCUGUGCCAGCAGCCGCGGUAAUACAGAGGGUGCGAGCGUUAAUCGGAAUUACUGGGCGUAAAGCGCGCGUAGGUGGUUUGGUCAGUCAGAUGUGAAAGCCCUGGGCUUAACCUGGGAACUGCAUUUGAUACUGCCAAACUAGAGUAUGGUAGAGGGUAGUGGAAUUUCCGGUGUAGCGGUGAAAUGCCUAGAGAUCGGAAGGAACACCAGUUGCGAAGGCGGAUCUCUGGACGGUUCCUGACGCUGAGGCACGAAAGCUGGGGUAGCGAAGAGGAUUAGAUACCCUCGUAGUCC
This 809-nucleotide ribosomal RNA is filed under the name Chromatiales bacterium. RNAcentral describes it as "bacterial SSU rRNA". It matches the Rfam family "Bacterial small subunit ribosomal RNA", at positions 1 to 796 of the family's 1533-position model. The record is from RNAcentral. Lineage: Bacteria; Pseudomonadati; Pseudomonadota; Gammaproteobacteria; Chromatiales.